Molecule: ribosomal RNA, 1788 nt
Filed under: marine metagenome
Description: bacterial LSU rRNA
Rfam family: Bacterial large subunit ribosomal RNA
Source: RNAcentral
CCGUGAGGGAAAGGUGAAAAGUAGCCCGGAGAGGGCGAUGAAAUAGUAUUUGAAACCAUGUGCUUACAAAGAGCAGGAGUCCUAAGUCACUUUUGUGACGGGAUGACUGUAUUCCUAUUGAAGAAUGAGCCUGCGAGUUACUCAACGUGGCAAGGUUAAGCUCCUUUGGAGCGGAGCCAUAGGGAAACCGAGUCUGAAUAGGGCGUUAAGUCUCGUUGAGUAGACCCGAAACUGAGUGAGCAAUCCAUGACCAGGGUGAGUCUUGGUGAUAAACCAAGAGGAGGCCCGAACCCACGCGCCGUGCAACACGCGGGGAUGAGUUGUGGAUAGCGGAGAAAUUCCAAUCGAACUCAGUAAUAGCUGGUUCUCCUCGAAAUAGCUUUAGGGCUAGCUGUAUGUGUUCCUUCUGGGGGUAGAGCACUGGAUGGAAAGUGGGUCCUUCGGGAUACCCUUUCCAAUCAAACUCCGAAUACCAGUAGUUAAGAACAUGCAAGUUAGACUAUGGGGGCUAAGCUUCAUAGUCGAAAGGGAAACAGCCCAGAUCGUCAAUUAAGGUCCCUAAAUCACUGCUAAGUGUUAAAGGUGGUGUUAAUUCUUAUACAACCAGGAAGUUGGCUUAGAAGCAGCCAUCUUUUAAAGAUAGCGUAACAGCUCACUGGUCAAGAGUUUUCGCGCCGAAAAUGUACCGGGGCUAAGCAGUGUACCGAAAUUACGAAUUCAUGAUCUCUUCGGAGCAUCAUGAGUGGUAGAGGAGCAUUCCUAUCUGCGUCGAAGCAGGAUCCGCGAGGGCCUGUGGAGCGAUGGGAAGAGAGAAUGCAGGCACAAGUAGCAAAAAUGCCAGUGAAAGUCUGGCACGCCGAAAACCCAAGGUUUCCAGGGCAACGUGAAUCGUCCCUGGGUUAGUCGAUCCUAAGGCGAGGCCGAAAGGCGUAGUCGAUGGAAGAGCAGGUUAAUAUUCCUGCACUUGGUAUAGUUUGUUGUAUUGCCGCACCUCAAAGGUAUGAGCGUUUUUUGGCUAUAGACGUUCCGCAAGGUAAAGACGAGCUCUCCGGAGUAAGUCAAUUUGUGUUAGAGAGGUGCCUAGAAAAACAGUACAACGCUAGGCUAUAUCAAACCGUACCGCAAACCGACACAGGUGGGUAGGUCGAGAAGACCAAGGUGUACGAGAGAAACAUGGUUAAGGAACUCGGCAAAACAGCGGCCGUAACUUCGGGAUAAGGCCUGCCCUGAGCAAUCAGGGCCGCAGCGAAAGACUACACGCGACUGUUUACCAAAAACACAGCUCUCUGCUAAAUCGUAAGAUGAUGUAUAGGGGGCGAUGCCUGGCCAGUGUCAGAACGUUAAGGGGAUGGGUUAUCCUUCGGGAGAAGCUUUGAACUGAAGCGCUGAUGAACGCCGGCGAUAACUAUAAUCGUCCUAAGGUAGCGAAAUUCCUUGUCGGGUGAGUUCCGACCCGCAUGAAUGGCACAACGAUGUGUAGACUGUCUUGACCAUGUACUCGGCGAAAAUGCAAUUGUCGUGAAGAUGCGACAUUGCCGCAGCAAGACGAAAAGACCCCGUGAAGCUUUACUACAAUUUGAUAUUGGUACAUUGCUUCAUAUGUUCAGCAUAGGUGGGAGCCUUCGGGCACCAGUGAGAUACCACCCUUAUGCUGUAGUGUACCUAAUCUGUAACCAUGAAUCUGGUUGCGGAGACAGUAUCUGAUGGGUAGUUUAACUGGGGCGGUUGCCUCCCAAAAAGUAACGGAGGCGUUUACAAAGGUUGGCUUGGUCCGGAUGGAAAUCGGAC